RNAcentral lists this ribosomal RNA (589 nucleotides) under uncultured bacterium. RNAcentral's name for it is "bacterial SSU rRNA". It matches the Rfam family "Bacterial small subunit ribosomal RNA", at positions 338 to 916 of the family's 1533-position model. The record is from RNAcentral.
CCUACGGGAGGCAGCAGUAGGGAAUCUUCCGCAAUGGACGAAAGUCUGACGGAGCAACGCCGCGUGAACGAUGAAGGCCUUCGGGUCGUAAAGUUCUGUUGUUAGGGAAGAACAAGUGCUAGUUGAAUAAGCUGGCACCUUGACGGUACCUAACCAGAAAGCCACGGCUAACUACGUGCCAGCAGCCGCGGUAAUACGUAGGUGGCAAGCGUUGUCCGGAAUUAUUGGGCGUAAAGCGCGCGCAGGCGGUUUCUUAAGUCUGAUGUGAAAGCCCCCGGCUCAACCGGGGAGGGUCAUUGGAAACUGGGAAACUUGAGUGCAGAAGAGGAAAGUGGAAUUCCAAGUGUAACGGUGAAAUGCGUAGAGAUUUGGAGGAACACCAGUGGCGAAGGCGACUUUCUGGUCUGUAACUGACGCUGAGGCGCGAAAGCGUGGGGAGCAAACAGGAUUAGAUACCCUGGUAGUCCACGCUGUAAACGAUGAGUGCUAAGUGUUAGGGGGUUUCCGCCCUUUAGUGCUGAAGUUAACGCAUUAAGCACUCCGCCUGGGGGAGUACGGUCGCAAGACNGAAACUCAAAUGAAUUGACGG